CGGCGAACGGGUGAGUAAUGUUUCGGAAUCUACCCAAUGGUGGGGAAUAACCAGCCGAAAGGUUGGCUAAUACCGCAUAAGUCCUACGGGAGAAAGCAGGGGAUCGCAAGACCUUGCGCCGAUGGAUGAGCCGAAGCCGGAUUAGCUAGUUGGUAGGGUAACGGCCUACCAAGGCGACGAUCCGUAGCUGGUCUGAGAGGACGACCAGCCACACUGGGACUGAGACACGGCCCAG
This 235-nucleotide ribosomal RNA is filed under the name uncultured bacterium. Its description in RNAcentral is "partial 16S ribosomal RNA". It matches the Rfam family "Bacterial small subunit ribosomal RNA", at positions 96 to 334 of the family's 1533-position model. The record is from RNAcentral.